ACUGCUUUUGGAGUUCGAUUAAGUCAUGCAAGUCAGAACGCAAGUUCGGCAAACGGCUCAGUAACACGUGGGUAACCUGCCCUAUGGUCUGGCAUAACCUUGGGAAACUGAGGGUAAAACCAGAUAGAGUACACCUACUGGAAUGUGGUUUACUUGAAAGGCAACGCCAUAGGAUGGGCCUGCGGCAGAUUAGGUUGUUGGUGAGGUAAUGGCUCACCAAGCCUGUGAUUUGUACGGGCAAUGAAAGUUGGAGCCCGGAGAAGGGGACUGAGACAAGGCCCCUAGCCCUACGGGGUGCAGCAGACGCGAAACCUUUACAAUGCGCGAAAGCGUGAUAAGGGGACUCCAAGUGCCGAUGGGAAACCACCGGCUUUUGUCAAGUGUAAACAGCUUGAUGAAUAAGGACUGGGUAAGACCCGUGCCAGCCGCCGCGGUAAUACGGGCAGUUCAAGUGGUAUCCGCGUAUAUUGGGCUUAAAGCGUCCGUAGCUGGUUCAGCAAGUUUCUAGUGAAAGCUCGCAGCUUAACUGAUGAGAGUUGCUAGAAAUACUGUUGGACUUGGAGGCGGGAGAGGUAAGAGGUACUUUUGGGGUAGCGGUUAAAUGUGUUAAUCCUGAAAGGACCACCGGUAGCGAAGGCGUCUUACUAGAACGCACUCGACAGUGAGGGACGAAGGCUAGGGGAGCAACCCGGAUUAGAUAUUAUGAAGAAUUAGAAAUUCCUCAAAUUUUUAGUUCUUCAAACUAAAAACCCGGUUAGUCCUAGCAGUAAAUUAUGCAGACUAGGUGUCCCGUAACCUACGUGGUUAUGGGGUGCCGAAGGGAAACCGUUAAGUCUGCCGCCUGGGGAGUACGGUCGCAAGACUGAAACUUAAAGGAAUUGGCGGGAGAGCACCACAAGGGGUGGAGGCUGCGGUUUAAUUGGAUACAACGCCGGACAUCUUACCGGAGGAGACGGCAGUAUGAAGGUCAGUCUGAAGGGCUUACCUGACUCGUCGAGAGGUGGUGCAUGGCCAUCGUCAGCUCGUGCUGUGAAGUGUCCUGUUAAGUCAGGUAACGAGCGAGACCCACACUCUUAGUUGCCAACCUUUUCAUUACGAGAAGGCGCACUCUAAGAGGACUGCAAGUGCUAAACUUGAGGAAGGUGUGGGCGACGGUAGGUCUGUAUGCCCCGAAUCUUCCGGGCUACACGUGGCCUACAUUGGUAAGUACAACGAGAUGCAACUCCGAAAGGAGAAGCUAAUCUCUUAAAACUUAUCUAAGUCUGGAUCGAGGGUUGAAACUCACCCUCGUGAAAAUGGAAUCCCUAGUAAUCGCGGAUCACUAUUCCGCGGUGAAUAUGUCCCUGCUCUUUGCACACACCGCCUGCCAAGCCACUCAAGCGGGGCUUUGGCGAGACCAUGUCUUUUUGGCGUGGUCGAACCUAGGUUCUGUGAG
This 1435-nucleotide ribosomal RNA is filed under the name unidentified archaeon. Its description in RNAcentral is "16S ribosomal RNA". It matches the Rfam family "Archaeal small subunit ribosomal RNA". The record is from RNAcentral.